UACGGAGGAUCCAAGCGUUAUCCGGAAUCAUUGGGCGUAAAGCGCCUGUAGGUUGUUUAAUAAGUCUGUUGUUAAAGCCUAGGGCUUAACCCUAGAAAAGCAAUGGAAACUACUAGACUAGAGUAUGGCAGGGGCAGAGGGAAUUUCUAGUGUAGCGGUGAAAUGCGUAGAUAUUAGAAAGAACACCGGUGGCGAAAGCGCUCUGCUGGACCAUUACUGACACUCAGAGGCGAAAGCUAGGGUAGCAAAAGGGAUUAGAUACCCCUGUAGUCCUAGCCGUAAACGAUGGAUACUAGAUGUUGUGCGUAAUGUACAGUAUCGCAGCUAACGCGUUAAGUAUCCCGCCUGGGGAGUACGCUCGCAAGGGUG
RNAcentral lists this ribosomal RNA (369 nucleotides) under uncultured phototrophic eukaryote. Its description in RNAcentral is "SSU rRNA". It matches the Rfam family "Bacterial small subunit ribosomal RNA", at positions 524 to 896 of the family's 1533-position model. The record is from RNAcentral.